CCUCGGAGAGUUUGAUCCUGGCUCAGGACGAACGCUGGCGGCGUGCCUAAUACAUGCAAGUCGAGCGAACAGAAGGGAGCUUGCUCCCGGAUGUUAGCGGCGGACGGGUGAGUAACACGUGGGUAACCUGCCUGUAAGACUGGGAUAACUCCGGGAAACCGGAGCUAAUACCGGAUAGUUCCUUGAACCGCAUGGUUCAAGGAUGAAAGACGGUUUCGGCUGUCACUUACAGAUGGACCCGCGGCGCAUUAGCUAGUUGGUGGGGUAAUGGCUCACCAAGGCGACGAUGCGUAGCCGACCUGAGAGGGUGAUCGGCCACACUGGGACUGAGACACGGCCCAGACUCCUACGGGAGGCAGCAGUAGGGAAUCUUCCGCAAUGGACGAAAGUCUGACGGAGCAACGCCGCGUGAGUGAUGAAGGUUUUCGGAUCGUAAAGCUCUGUUGUUAGGGAAGAACAAGUGCGAGAGUAACUGCUCGCACCUUGACGGUACCUAACCAGAAAGCCACGGCUAACUACGUGCCAGCAGCCGCGGUAAUACGUAGGUGGCAAGCG
This 555-nucleotide ribosomal RNA is filed under the name Bacillus pumilus. RNAcentral describes it as "bacterial SSU rRNA". It matches the Rfam family "Bacterial small subunit ribosomal RNA", at positions 1 to 540 of the family's 1533-position model. The record is from RNAcentral. Lineage: Bacteria; Bacillati; Bacillota; Bacilli; Caryophanales; Bacillaceae.